UACGUAGGGGGCAAGCGUUGUCCGGAAUCAUUGGGCGUAAAGCGCGUGUAGGCGGCCUGAAAAGUCUGCUGUGAAAACUCGAGGCUCAACUUCGAGCUGUCGGUGGAAACUUUCUGGCUAGAGUCCGGAAGAGGAGAAUGGAAUUCCUGGUGUAGCGGUGAAAUGCGCAGAUAUCAGGAAGAACACCCGUGGCGAAGGCGGUUCUCUGGGACGGUACUGACGCUGAGACGCGAAAGCGUGGGGAGCGAACAGG
This 253-nucleotide ribosomal RNA is filed under the name uncultured bacterium. RNAcentral's name for it is "partial 16S ribosomal RNA". It matches the Rfam family "Bacterial small subunit ribosomal RNA", at positions 524 to 776 of the family's 1533-position model. The record is from RNAcentral.